RNAcentral lists this ribosomal RNA (253 nucleotides) under uncultured bacterium. RNAcentral's name for it is "partial 16S ribosomal RNA". It matches the Rfam family "Bacterial small subunit ribosomal RNA", at positions 524 to 776 of the family's 1533-position model. The record is from RNAcentral.
UACGUAGGGUCCGAGCGUUGUCCGGAGUGACUGGGCGUAAAGCGCGCGCAGGCGGCCCGCGAGGUGUCCUGUGAAAGCCCCGUGCUCAACGCGGGAGGGUCAGGGCAAACCGGCGGGCUUGAGGCCGGUAGAGGUGGGUGGAACUCCUGGUGGAGUGGUGAAAUGCGUAGAGAUCAGGAAGAACACCCGUGGCGAAGGCGGCCCACUGGGCCGGAACUGACGCUGAGGCGCGAAGGCGUGGGGAGCGAACGGG